Small nuclear RNA from Nannospalax galili (Upper Galilee mountains blind mole rat), 114 nucleotides. Its record names the gene U5. It matches the Rfam family "U5 spliceosomal RNA". Rfam says of the family: U5 RNA is a component of both types of known spliceosome. Lineage: Eukaryota; Metazoa; Chordata; Mammalia; Rodentia; Spalacidae. The record is from Ensembl.
UGCUCUGGUUUCUCUUCAGAUCGUGUAAAUCUUUUGCCUUUUACUAAAGAUUUCCAUGGAGAGGAAAAACAAAAAAAUUAUCUGGCAUUUUUUAGUCCCCUGCCGGCCUGGCUU